AUUGAACGCUGGCGGCAUGCCUUACACAUGCAAGUCGAACGGUAACAGGUUAAGCUGACGAGUGGCGAACGGGUGAGUAAUGCAUCGGAACGUGCCCGGUCGUGGGGGAUAACGCAGCGAAAGCUGCGCUAAUACCGCAUACGAUCUGAGGAUGACAGCGGGGGACCGUAAGGCCUCGCGCGAUCGGAGCGGCCGAUGUCAGAUUAGGUAGUUGGUGGGGUAAAGGCCUACCAAGCCGACGAUCUGUAGCUGGUCUGAGAGGACGACCAGCCACACUGGGACUGAGACACGGCCCAGACUCCUACGGGAGGCAGCAGUGGGGAAUUUUGGACAAUGGGCGCAAGCCUGAUCCAGCAAUGCCGCGUGCAGGAAGAAGGCCUUCGGGUUGUAAACUGCUUUUGUACGGAGCGAAAAGGCUCUCUCUAAUACAGGGGGUUCAUGACGGUACCGUAAGAAUAAGCACCGGCUAACUACGUGCCAGCAGCCGCCGUAA
Molecule: ribosomal RNA, 493 nt
Filed under: uncultured bacterium
Lineage: Bacteria
Description: partial 16S ribosomal RNA
Rfam family: Bacterial small subunit ribosomal RNA
Source: RNAcentral